Equus caballus (horse) is the source of this 4274-nucleotide long non-coding RNA. The record is from Ensembl. NCBI's taxonomy places the organism in Eukaryota, Metazoa, Chordata, Mammalia, Perissodactyla, Equidae.
GAAGCCCCGCACUGUGUGAUGCUAGACUCUAGCCUUGACCUCUCCAGCCUGUCUAGAUUUGGGGACCCCUGGACAGGUGAUGAGCAUCUGUCCUGAGGGCUGGAACAGGGGCACAGCCCCCUGUCCCAAGUUCUCUAGACUUGUCACCCACCCCAUGCCCCUUGUAUGCUCCCUGGUGGUUCAGUCCAUCUGGGUGUUCUCCAGGACCUCAUGUCCCACAAGGUAAACCCAAACCCUCCCGAUUGAUUGGUGCUGUUCUCUAGGUUGAUUCACCAGCCAGAAUCAGUUAAGAUUUAAGGAGAAUGGAGUAGAUGUAAGAGUUCCUGUUGCCUAUUAAGGACUGGGUGCUUGCCUGGUCUGUGGAAGCGCCUGGAAGCUGGUCCUAGAGACCUCUGGUCUCCAAUCCCUGCUCUACCCUGCUGCAGGGACAUCCCCAGGUUAAGUGCAUGGUCCAGGGAACAGCUGAGAGGGCAGGAGCAAGGGGGUGUCCAUGGGUGGGAGUGCCCCUGGAAGUUCUUUCAAUCUAUGUGCAGUUCUCAACUCCCACCUUCAGGAUCCCUCAGGAUUGGGAUGGUGGGGAAUGUGGCUCUGAGGACGGAUUUUGUUAAAUUCAUAAAUCAUCAAAUUCAGCCAUUAAAGUAUACAACUCAGUGGUUUUUAGAGUAUUUACAGAGUUGUGCAGUUGUCAUCACUAUUUCCACAGCGUUUCACUACCCCACAAAGAAAUCUCUUACCCAUCAGCAGGUGCCCCCAUGGCCCUCUCCCCCAGCCCCUGUGGACCACUGGACCACUUGCUGUGUCUAUAGAUCUGGCUAUUCUGGACAUUUCAUAUAAAUGGAAUCAUACAAUAUGUAGCCUUUUGUGUCUGACUUCUUUCACUUAGCAUAAUGUCCAUCCAUGUAGUAGCAUGUACCAAAAUUUCGUUCCUUUCUACGGUGGAAUAAUAUUCCAUUGCAUGUAUAGAUCACAUUUUGUUUAUCCAUUCAUCUGUCCAUAGACACUUAGACUGUUUCCGCCUUUUUGCUAUUGUGAGUAGUUCUUCUAUGAAUAUGCACGUGCAAAUAUUUGAGUACCUGUUUUCACUUCUCCUGGGUCUAUACCUAUGAGCAGAAUUGCUGGGUCAUAUGGUAACUCUAGGUUUAACUUUUUGAGGAACUACCAAACUGUUUUCCACAGCAGCUGCACCAUUUUACAUUCCUUCCAGCAACAGAGGAGUGUUCUAAUUUCUCCACAUCCUCGCCAACACUUGUUCUUUUCCAUUUUCUUGGUAACAGCCAUUCCAAUGGGUGACAAGUAGUAUCUCAUUGUGGUUUUGAUUUGCAUUUCCCCGAGGGCUAACGCCAUUGCACAUCUUUUCAUGUGCUUGUUGGCCGUUAGUCUAUCACUUUAGAGAAAUGUCUGUCUAAGUCCUUUGUCCAUUUUCUAACUGGGCUAUUCGUCUUUUCAUUGUUGAGUUAUGAGUUCUUUACGUAUUCUGUAUACUAGACCUGGUAUCAGAUAGGCAAUUUGCAUUCAUUUUCACCCAUCAUGUGGGUUGCCUUUUUGCUUUCUCGAUGCUAUCAUUUGAAGCACUGAAGUUUUAAUUGUGAUGAAGUCAAGUUUAUUGAUUUUUUUUAUUGCUUGUGCUUUUGGUGUCCAAGAGCAAAAUUUGAUUCCCAGUAAGCCUGCAGGAAGCCGCUCAUCAGCAGCAGCUGCCCUCUCCUUUCCUCAGUGCCAGCGCCGGGUCGAGAGGACACCACACUGCACUGCAGAUCAGCAGUCCAUCUGACCUCUGGGUCCUCCUGUCCCUUAUAAAGCUGGCUGAAGAGAGCUUUGUAAUCUCAUUAUGACGGAAUUUCCCAGGUGGCUGGGAAGGCAGCCUGUAAGCGGGAGUGUUAGAAAGUGAGUGUGAACCUAUGAUCCACCAACCCAGGAUGUCACCCAACCUGGCUGUAGGGUUUUCUCCACUCAGAUCGGACAGCCUGGGGAGCUGCCAAGAGGGAACAGACUUGUUUGUUCUUGAAGCUCUUCAGUGCAGUGUAAUACUCAGAGUUUUUGUCUUGCAGCAUGGACACGAAGGAGGACCUGGGGAGCCAGCUGGCCCUAGAACAAGCAGCGAUAACAGCCAAAUGCAAUCAGGGAUGACAUGCAGGGUGCCUGCAGAACCUGCGGAGGAUGCUGACCUCUCACUAUACAAAGUCACCGACCAUCUUGCUUUUCUGCACAGAAACUCCGGGAGACUGGGCGAGCAGAUAAGUGGGUCAAGAUGCUAAAGGAAUGGUAUAAAUACCAGAGCAGCAAGAAGAUAGAGAACUGAGCACUAGAUAGGCGGUAUGCUCUCCUGAUCCCAAGGAGGACGGGCCUGGAUCCCCAGGGCAGCUCGCAGCUUCCCUGACCACCCCACAAGGGUCACCUCGCCUGGAGAGGAUCUGACGCCAGAGCCGGAGCCAGCCCAGGCCCAGGGCCUCAUAGGGAAGGAUAAGUCAGGACCAUAGUUCACAAUGUCCCUCGAGCCCUCGUCCACUCUUAAUUGUGGGAGACAGGGCCCAGUUCUGGGUAAACCCAACCUCUUCUGAGAAACCACGGAGCUGAAGACUAGAAUCUUCCAGAUGCGUCCGACUCAUCUCCUCCGCAGCGUCGCCCUGUGGCCUGUUUCACCAGAGCUUUCUUCUAUCCUGUAGAAGCAUCGAAGGUCUCCAAAGGAAUCCUUUGACAGAUGCAAGAUCAGGUGUGGUCUCUCCGAUUGGACGUUCAGAAGCUAAAGGCAGAGAAUGAAGGAAAACCUGAGGUGGCCCUUCUGCACCCGGCAGAGGCAGCGCUGACAGGCCAAGCCCUCCCAGGAGCUUGCUUAAGGGAGCAGGUCGUGUACCACGGGGACCCCUCGCCUGUCCUGAGCACUUUCCUGGUACCUCCUAGACUCAACGGCUUGGGGCACUCCUGCUGGGAAAGCCCUGCCCCUCUCUAUGCUGCCUGGGCCUCAGUUCCGCCCAGCUCAGCCCAGUGCAGACAUUGGAUCCAGGGAUGGAUGGACGCCACUGGAAUCAAACCAAGGCCUCUCAGACACCUGAGUGGGGGCCAGAGUCACACAGCAAAGGAUAGAAACCAGGGAAAAAGAGCAAGGAAGCACACGCACACAAACCAUAAAAUGAGAAAAGCAAAACCAAACAGACGUGAACAACAGAUAUAAGUUAAAUUGAAUAAACAGAAAAAGACUUAAUUGAGACAAUAAACGGGUCUUUUCCCAUCCCCCCAGUGAGGAGCCUGCACCUGGCUUCAUUCUCAAUGCUCACGUCUCCCACUAGGGUGCCCCCCAGGUCGUACUGCCUCAGGGAGGGAAAGGGCAGUGAUGCACCCAGACCAAGUGGGACCGGCCCAGCGAAGCCUGGACACUGGGAAAUGCAGCUGGGAGAGGGUAUAGAGAUGGUCACACUUCAAUGAGCAGCCCAAGAAUAGAUAAUUGCUUAAUGUGGUAAAUAGAUAUGGAUGUAGACACCCAUUGAUAAUUGUGGAGCAACAACCAGCAUCAUGCUUAAUUGUGAAACCCUCAAAGGGCACCCGUAAAACUGGAGACAAGAAGAGGGUCUAGUUACCCAUUGCACAGCUUGUUACCGUGGUCCUGCAAAUGGGCUCAGUGCGAUGGGACAGGAUAAGUAAGGCAUUUAGAGAAGAGGCAGGAUUAUUUUUGGCUGUGGAAUGCUGUCCUGGCAAGAGGGUGAGCCCAGACCCCUCCUGCUGUACUGGUGCCGGGCCGGGUGUGGCCAGCUCCUUCUCAGGAAGGAAGGGGCAGCACGUGGACAUCUGCACCCUACCUGAUCCUGCAUCCCAGCCCCCAGGCUCCCUGCAAGUUCUGACAGCCCGAGUCUGUUUCUGAACUUAUGACCAGGAACCCAGCCAGAUGCAUCGAGAUACAGAUGAAAAUCCAGACAAACUGCCUAAUAGCUGAUGAUACCGCAUAUGAAAGGACACAAGGGACUCAGCCAGGGGCCCAGUUGGCAAAAAGAGAGUUCACUGAAGUAGCAGAUUGUUACUACUUCCAGCAUCCUCAGCUAUAAUUUAUCUAACACAAUGGUGCCGCACCAAUAACGAAAACCACCACCUUAUUUACCAACUCCUUAGUAAAUAUUGUAAGAAAAAUGUUCUGUUCUCCAUAGCAGCAAAACGUAGGAGCAAAAAGAAUAUCGAAACUGAAACUACAAAUUAUGUAACAGAUAAUGAAAAGACCCACAAAACAUGUGUUUUAUUUUUUAAAGACUGACAUUAAGGAACUAAGUAUUCAACUUUAAAAUUGAAGGAAA